Molecule: ribosomal RNA, 348 nt
Filed under: Ramariopsis kunzei
Lineage: Eukaryota; Fungi; Basidiomycota; Agaricomycetes; Agaricales; Clavariaceae
Description: SSU rRNA
Rfam family: Eukaryotic small subunit ribosomal RNA
Source: RNAcentral
AUAGCGUAUAUUAAAGUUGUUGCAGUUAAAAAGCUCGUAGUUGAACUUCAGAUUUGGUCGGGUGGUCCGCUUAACGGCGUGUUACUGCUUGGCUGGGUCUUGUCUCUUGGUGAACCAUUGUGCCCUUUAUUGGUGUGCUUUGGGGAACCAGGACUUUUACCUUGAGAAAAUUAGAGUGUUCAAAGCAGGCCUAUGCCUGGAUACAUUAGCAUGGAAUAAUAGAAUAGGACGUGUGGUUCUAUUUUGUUGGUUUCUAGAAUUGCCGUAAUGAUUAAUAGGGAUAGUUGGGGGCAUUGGUAUUUAGUCGCUAGAGGUGAAAUUCUUGGAUUGACUGAAGACCGACUAUUG